GACGAACGCGGGCGGCGUGCUUAACACAUGCAAGUCGAACGGAAAGGCCCUGCUUUUGUGGGGUGCUCGAGUGGCGAACGGGUGAGUAACACGUGAGUAACCUGCCCUUGACUUUGGGAUAACUUCAGGAAACUGGGGCUAAUACCGGAUAGGAGCUCCUGCUGCAUGGUGGGGGUUGGAAAGUUUCGGCGGUUGGGGAUGGACUCGCGGCUUAUCAGCUUGUUGGUGGGGUAGUGGCUUACCAAGGCUUUGACGGGUAGCCGGCCUGAGAGGGUGACCGGCGACACGGGGAAAGAGAGAAGGCGGGGAGUGAUUCGGGAGGCAGCAGGGGGGAGGAGGGCAGAGGGGGCGGGAGUCGUACGCAGCAUCGGCGGGUGCGGGAUGAAGGGCGUCGGGUUGUAAAAAGGAGUCGCCGGCGACGAAGCGUGAGGGACGGUAAGGGGUAAAGAAGCAAGGGCGAAUCAAGUG
Molecule: ribosomal RNA, 468 nt
Filed under: uncultured bacterium
Lineage: Bacteria
Description: partial 16S ribosomal RNA
Rfam family: Bacterial small subunit ribosomal RNA
Source: RNAcentral